This 264-nucleotide unclassified non-coding RNA is filed under the name Hevea brasiliensis (rubber tree). Lineage: Eukaryota; Viridiplantae; Streptophyta; Magnoliopsida; Malpighiales; Euphorbiaceae. The record is from RNAcentral.
GCUUUACCAUUCAAUUUACUCAUAAGGGAAACCAAUGGAACAUUCUGUGGCUGAUAAUUUGCUCUGACCUCAACCUUAACAUCAUAAAGUUUAGAAUCAUUUAUAUUUCUGCCAGGAAAAUCUGACAUCUGAUAUCUGGAGUUUACUGUGAAGCGUGAUUGACGAUAGGGAAGUGACCUUUGAGGGGGCAAAGACACCUCUACCAUUCCUCCUCUGAUAUGAGAUUCCCUGAGAGAAAAAGGUUUGCUCCAAUCCUGAACUCCG